This 460-nucleotide ribosomal RNA is filed under the name uncultured bacterium. RNAcentral's name for it is "partial 16S ribosomal RNA". It matches the Rfam family "Bacterial small subunit ribosomal RNA", at positions 338 to 795 of the family's 1533-position model. The record is from RNAcentral.
CCUACGGGAGGCAGCAGUGAGGAAUAUUGGUCAAUGGACGAGAGUCUGAACCAGCCAAGUAGCGUGAAGGAUGACUGACCUAUGGGUUGUAAACUUCUUUUAUAUGGGAAUAAAAUGUUCCACGUGUGGGAUUUUGUAUGUACCAUAUGAAUAAGGAUCGGCUAACUCCGUGCCAGCAGCCGCGGUAAUACGGAGGAUCCGAGCGUUAUCCGGAUUUAUUGGGUUUAAAGGGAGCGUAGGUGGAUUGUUAAGUCAGUUGUGAAAGUUUGCGGCUCAACCGUAAAAUUGCAGUUGAAACUGGCAGUCUUGAGUACAGUAGAGGUGGGCGGAAUUCGUGGUGUAGCGGUGAAAUGCUUAGAUAUCACGAAGAACUCCGAUUGCGAAGGCAGUUCACUGGACUGCAACUGACACUGAGGCUCGAAAGUGUGGGUAUCAAACAGGAUUAAAUACCCCAGUAGUC